Molecule: ribosomal RNA, 253 nt
Filed under: uncultured bacterium
Lineage: Bacteria
Description: partial 16S ribosomal RNA
Rfam family: Bacterial small subunit ribosomal RNA
Source: RNAcentral
UACGUAGGGGGCAAGCGUUGUCCGGAAUUAUUGGGCGUAAAGAGCGUGUAGGCGGUCCGGUAAGUCAGCUGUGAAAGUCAAGGGCUCAACCCUUGAAUGCCGGUUGAUACUGUCGGGCUAGAGUCCGGAAGAGGCGAGUGGAAUUCCCGGUGUAGCGGUGAAAUGCGCAGAUAUCGGGAGGAACACCAAUGGCGAAGGCAGCUAGCUGGGACGGUACUGACGCUGAGACGCGAAAGCGUGGGGAGCAAACAGG